This 465-nucleotide ribosomal RNA is filed under the name uncultured bacterium. Its description in RNAcentral is "partial 16S ribosomal RNA". It matches the Rfam family "Bacterial small subunit ribosomal RNA", at positions 28 to 507 of the family's 1533-position model. The record is from RNAcentral.
GACGAACGCUGGCGGCGUGCUUAACACAUGCAAGUCGAACGGAAAGGCCCCUUUGGGGGUACUCGAGUGGCGAACGGGUGAGUAACACGUGAGUAACCUGCCCUUGACUUCGGGAUAACUUCAGGAAACUGGGGCUAAUACCGGAUAGGAAUCCUUGCUGCAUGGUGGGGGUUGGAAAGCUUCGGCGGUUUUGGAUGGACUCGCGGCUUAUCAGCUUGUUGGUGGGGUAGUGGCUUACCAGGGCUUUGACGGGUAGCCGGCCUGAGAGGGCGACCGGCCACAUUGGGACUUAGAUACGGCCCAGACUCCUACGGGAGGCAGCAGUGGGGAAUAUUGCACAAUGGGCGGAAGCCUGAUGCAGCAACGCCGCGUGCGGGAUGACGGCCUUCGGGUUGUAAACCGCUUUCAGCAGGGGCGAAGCUUGUGGUGACGGUACCUGCAGAAGAAGCACCGGCUAACUACGUG